Molecule: ribosomal RNA, 945 nt
Filed under: Julodis sulcicollis
Lineage: Eukaryota; Metazoa; Arthropoda; Insecta; Coleoptera; Buprestidae
Description: SSU rRNA
Rfam family: Eukaryotic small subunit ribosomal RNA
Source: RNAcentral
CCGUAUUAAGGUGAAACCGCGAAAGGCUCAUUAAAUCAGUUAUGGUUCCUUAGNNNNNNNNNNNNUUUACUUGGAUAACUGUGGUAAUUCUAGAGCUAAUACAUGCAAACAGAGCUCCGACCGGACACGGAAGGAGCGCUUUUAUUAGAUCAAAACCAAUCGGCGGCGGGCCUCGGCUCGUCGUCGUACCCACUGGUGAAUCUGAAUAACUUUCUGCUGAUCGCAUGGUCUAGCACCGGCGACGCAUCUUUCAAAUGUCUGCCUUAUCAACUGUCGAUGGUAGGUUCUGCGCCUACCAUGGUUGUAACGGGUAACGGGGAAUCAGGGUUCGAUUCCGGAGAGGGAGCCUGAGAAACGGCUACCACAUCCAAGGAAGGCAGCAGGCGCGCAAAUUACCCACUCCCGGCACGGGGAGGUAGUGACGAAAAAUAACGAUACGGGACUCAUCCGAGGCCCCGUAAUCGGAAUGAGUACAAUCUAAACCCUUUAACGAGGAUCAAUUGGAGGGCAAGUCUGGUGCCAGCAGCCGCGGUAAUUCCAGCUCCAAUAGCGUAUAUUAAAGUUGUUGCGGUUAAAAAGCUCGUAGUCGAAUCUGUGUCCCGCGCCGCCGGUUCAUCGCUCGCGGUGUUUAACUGGCGUGUCCGCGGGACGUCCUGCCGGUGGGCCUAACCCGCGAGGGCGGCCCAACUCAAUCCCACCGCGGUGCUCUUCACUGAGUGUCGAGGUGGGCCGGCACGUUUACUUUGAACAAAUUAGAGUGCUUAAAGCAGGCUAAAACUUCGCCUGAAUACAGUGUGCAUGGAAUAAUGGAAUAGGACCUCGGUUCUAUUUUGUUGGUUUUCGGAACCCCGAGGUAAUGAUUAAUAGGAACGGAUGGGGGCAUUCGUAUUGCGACGUUAGAGGUGAAAUUCUUGGAUCGUCGCAAGACGAACAGAAGCGAAAGCA